UAGGGAAUCUUCGGCAAUGGACGGAAGUCUGACCGAGCAACGCCGCGUGAGUGAAGAAGGUUUUCGGAUCGUAAAGCUCUGUUGUAAGAGAAGAACGAGUGUGAGAGUGGAAAGUUCACACUGUGACGGUAUCUUAUCAGAAAGGGACGGCUAACUACGUGCCAGCAGCCGCGGUAAUACGUAGGUCCCGAGCGUUGUCCGGAUUUAUUGGGCGUAAAGCGAGCGCAGGCGGUUAGAUAAGUCUGAAGUUAAAGGCUGUGGCUUAACCAUAGUAGGCUUUGGAAACUGUUUAACUUGAGUGCAAGAGGGGAGAGUGGAAUUCCAUGUGUAGCGGUGAAAUGCGUAGAUAUAUGGAGGAACACCGGUGGCGAAAGCGGCUCUCUGGCUUGUAACUGACGCUGAGGCUCGAAAGCGUGGGGAGCAAACAGGAUUAGAUACCCUGGUAGUCCACGCCGUAAACGAUGAGUGCUAGGUGUUAGACCCUUUCCGGGGUUUAGUGCCGCAGCUAACGCAUUAAGCACUCCGCCUGGUGGAGUNACGACCGCAAGGUUGAA
This 554-nucleotide ribosomal RNA is filed under the name uncultured bacterium. Its description in RNAcentral is "bacterial SSU rRNA". It matches the Rfam family "Bacterial small subunit ribosomal RNA", at positions 355 to 898 of the family's 1533-position model. The record is from RNAcentral.